GACGAACGCUGGCGGCGUGCCUAACACAUGCAAGUCGAGCGAUCUUCUUCGGAAGAGAGCGGCGGACGGGUGAGUAACGCGUGGGUAACCUGCCCUGUACACACGGAUAACAUACCGAAAGGUAUGCUAAUACGAGAUAAUAUGCUUUUAUCGCAUGGUAGAAGUAUCAAAGCUUUUGCGGUACAGGAUGGACCCGCGUCUGAUUAGCUAGUUGGUAAGGUAACGGCUUACCAAGGCGACGAUCAGUAGCCGACCUGAGAGGGUGAUCGGCCACAUUGGAACUGAGACACGGUCCAAACUCCUACGGGAGGCAGCAGUGGGGAAUAUUGCACAUGGGCGAAAGCCUGAUGCAGCAACGCCGCGUGAGCGAUGAAGGCCUUCGGGUCGUAAAGCUCUGUCCUCAAGGAAGAUAAUGACGGUACUUGAGGAGGAAGCCCCGGCUAACUACGUGCCAGCCGCCGCGGUAA
RNAcentral lists this ribosomal RNA (467 nucleotides) under uncultured bacterium. RNAcentral's name for it is "partial 16S ribosomal RNA". It matches the Rfam family "Bacterial small subunit ribosomal RNA", at positions 28 to 523 of the family's 1533-position model. The record is from RNAcentral.